GAACGCUGGCGGCGUGCUUAACACAUGCAAGUCGAACGCUCCUGGAGGUUGGAAGUUAGAGGUUAGAAGUUAGAUUAAGAAGGAAUUCGCCGAAGGCGAAUUCUCACACAAUCUAACAUCUAAUUUCCAACUUCCAACCUCUAAGGGGAGUGGCGGACGGGUGAGUAACGCGUGGGCAAUCUGCCCGUAAGAGGGGGAUAACAUCGGGAAACCGGGGCUAAUACCGCAUAAUAUCUGUUUACCGCAUGGUAGACAGAUUAAAGGAGCAAUCCGCUUACGGAUGAGCCCGCGUCUGAUUAGCUAGUUGGUAGGGUAACGGCCUACCAAGGCGACGAUCAGUAGCCGGCCUGAGAGGGUGACCGGCCACACUGGAACUGAGACACGGUCCAGACUCCUACGGGAGGCAGCAGUGGGGAAUCUUCCGCAAUGGGCGAAAGCCUGACGGAGCACGCCGCGUGAGCGAAGAAGGCCUUCGGGUUGUAAAGCUCUGUCAUCAGGGAAGAAGAGAGUGACGGUACCUGAGGAGGAAGCCACGGCUAACUACGUGCCAGCAGCCGCGGUAAUACGUAGGUGCAGCGUUGUCCGGAAUUACUGGGCGUAAAGAGCGCGUAGGCGGGCGCUUAAGUCAGGUGUGAAAACUGGCAGCUCAACUGCCAGCCUGCCUUUGAGACUGGGCGUCUUGAGGACAGGAGAGGAGAGCGGAAUUCCUAGUGUAGCGGUGAAAUGCGUAGAUAUUAGGAGGAACACCAGUGGCGAAGGCGGCUCUCUGGCCUGUAACUGACGCUGAGGCGCGAAAGCGUGGGGAGCGAACGGGAUUAGAUACCCCGGUAGUCCACGCCGUAAACGAUGGGUGCUAGGUGUAGGAGGUAUCGACCCCUUCUGUGCCGUAGUUAACACAAUAAGUACCCCGCCUGGGGAGUACGGCCGCAAGGUUGAAACUCAAAGGAAUUGACGGGGGCCCGCACAAGCGGUGGAGCAUGUGGUUUAAUUCGACGCAACGCGAAGAACCUUACCAGGGCUUGACAUCGAGGGAAGGCUUGUGGAAACAUGAGUCGUCACAAGCUUGCUUGUGACCCGAAGACAGGUGGUGCAUGGUUGUCGUCAGCUCGUGUCGUGAGAUGUUGGGUUAAGUCCCGCAACGAGCGCAACCCUUAUCUUUAGUUGCCAGCACGUGGAGGUGGGCACUCUAGAGAGACUGCCGGUGACAAACCGGAGGAAGGUGGGGAUGACGUCAAAUCAUCAUGCCCCUUAUGUCCUGGGCUACACACGCGCUACAAUGGCCGGUACAAAGGGGAGCGAUGGGGUGACCCGGAGCAAAUCCCAGCAAAGCCGGUCUCAGUUCGGAUUGUAGUCUGCAACUCGACUACAUGAAGUCGGAAUCGCUAGUAAUCGCAGGUCAGCAUACUGCGGUGAAUACGUUCCCGGGCCUUGUACACACCGCCCGUCACACCACGAAAGCCUGCAACACCCGAAGCCGGUGAGCUAACCCGCAAGGGAGGCAGCCGUCGAAGGUGGGGCCGGUGAUUGGGGUG
Molecule: ribosomal RNA, 1532 nt
Filed under: uncultured bacterium
Lineage: Bacteria
Description: 16S ribosomal RNA
Rfam family: Bacterial small subunit ribosomal RNA
Source: RNAcentral